Molecule: long non-coding RNA, 1534 nt
Filed under: Cricetulus griseus (Chinese hamster)
Lineage: Eukaryota; Metazoa; Chordata; Mammalia; Rodentia; Cricetidae
Description: lncRNA (ENSCGRG00015043192.1)
Source: RNAcentral
AUUUUGGAGAGACAGUUUGAUCAGAUGACUAAGCCAGCUAGUCCAGCAAUCAAAGAACUUUCAGAACUUGUUAUACAAUGAAAAGUCAAAACUAAAUGGAGUAACCAUGAAUGUGUUGGAGAACUUCUCGAGUAACUCCAUGUCUCCACCAAUGAAUGCUAUCAUGGAUAACAAAUCAAAUCUCCUACGUGGAUACUUUCCGCCAAACGUCACCAGUAACCAAAAGGAGAAUAAUGCUUACUUUAGGACAAUGUGAUCUCAGUAUCAAUCAUCCCAAUGUUUUGACUUUGCAGUUUUCAUCCUGAACACAGAAAAACGUUUGACAGGAAAAGACUGGGGACCCCACCAGUGGCCUUGCAUAGGCUAGGGGUUUAAAAGAUGAAAUGGAAAUGCCCUCCCCCGAUAAUGAAAUUGAUGCUAUCCUAGAGCCUUCAUCCAGGGGCUGAUAUAAGCAGAGGCAGACACCCUCAGCUAAACACUGAACUGAACUCCUGGAAUCCAGUUGCAGAGAGGAAGGAGUGAAGAGCAAAGGGGUCAAGACCGAGCUACUGAAACCCACAGAAACUGCUGACUUGAACAAGGGGUGCUCAUGGACCCUAGACUGAUGGCUGGGAGACCAGUCUGGGACUGACCCAGAAUCCCUGAACAUGGGUGUAGGUUAGGAGGCCUCGGCGAUCUAUGGGGCCUCUGGCAGUGGAUCAGUAUUUAUCCCUGGAGUACAAAUGGACUUUGGCAGCCCAUUUCACGUGGAGGGAUGCUCUCUCAUCCUGGAUACAUGGGGGAAGCCCUAGGCCCUGCCCCAUACGGUAUGACAGACUUUAGGGAUCCCCCAUGGAGAGCCUCACUCUCCCUGGGGAGUGGAGAGAUGUCAUGGGGAAGGGGUUGGUGGGAGAUGGGGGAGAAGGGGAGGGAGAGGGAGCUGGGAUUGACAUGUGAAGCAGACUUGUUUCUAAUUUAAAUUUUAAAAAAGUGAUGAUUUUCCAUGUUUAAUGCACUUGGAUAUUCUAUUUUUGUAGAUAAUUCCAUUUGGUGAGAAUGGCUAUGCUUUAAAAUAGGUAACUUUAUUUGACAACCCAUGGCUUCUGGGAGGAGCAUUAAUCUCUGUGUUGGAAGUUAGAGUUAUAUUUUAUAGAUUAGUAAAUUGCUAUAUGGCUUUUCAAACAUCUCCAAUAUUUGUUAUCCUUCCCCAUCCCAUCCUCCUCCCUACCCUCACAACUUCCUCCAACAUAAACCUCCCUCCUUGUCAUUUCCCUAUUUUUAUAUAUUAAUUAGCUCAUAAAGUAGCAUGUUUCCACAUGGGAUUUCACUUGGUUGAUUUUCCUCUCUCAUUCUCCCUGUCCCUCCCUGUCACCAAUACUCCCCCUUCUACUUUAUUCUAUUACAGAAUCUCCAUAAGCCCUCUUUUUGUUAAUUCUCAUGACCCCUGUCUAGUUUCUUGGGCUUUGUCCGUGUUUACUUUCACUUGGAUGCACAUGUUUAACAGUUAAGGUCUAAGAAUUGUAUAUAAGAGAAAACAUAUGUCUUCCAAUGUUAU